GGCGCGCACCCGUCGGCGCCGAGCGCGCAGCCUGCUCCACCGCCGCCUCUUGGUCCCGCCGCCGCCGCUGCCGCCGCCGCCGGGCAGAGGCCGGGGACCGGAGAAAGGAGGAGCGGAGAAGGAGAAGGAGGAGAGCACGGCCUGGCUGGGACAGAAGCGGUGGGACCCUGGGAGGCCUCCGCUGUGCCCGUGCCGCGCUCCUCGGGACCAGCGCGUCGCACACAAAGGGGCUGCCGAGCCAGAGCCACCAGCGGCCUCAGGGCACCGUGGGGAGCGCGCAGCUAGGGGGCGCUGUGGCGCACCCCGCCCCGCAGCCCCGCCCCCGGCCCUCCCCGGCCCCACCCCACUCCCACCGCCCUCUCCGCGGCCGUCCCCACCCCUAUCUCCGCGACCCCCACUCCUCCUCGGCUGUUCCCCAACCCUGUCACUGUGCUCCCCUCCCUACUCCCGGCCCGUAGUGGAGGUGACUUUCCUGCGCAGCGCCGCUUCUGAGGGCGGAGAACCCACAGGGAGUGCGACCCCUUUGCACGCUG
Molecule: long non-coding RNA, 533 nt
Filed under: Homo sapiens (human)
Lineage: Eukaryota; Metazoa; Chordata; Mammalia; Primates; Hominidae
Description: non-protein coding lnc-SDCBP-2:10
Source: RNAcentral